This 70-nucleotide transfer RNA is filed under the name Cynoglossus puncticeps (speckled tonguesole). Its description in RNAcentral is "tRNA-Tyr". It matches the Rfam family "tRNA". Rfam says of the family: Transfer RNA (tRNA) molecules are approximately 80 nucleotides in length. Their secondary structure includes four short double-helical elements and three loops (D, anti-codon, and T loops). Lineage: Eukaryota; Metazoa; Chordata; Actinopteri; Pleuronectiformes; Cynoglossidae. The record is from RNAcentral.
GGUAGGAUGGCUGAAGGUCAAGCGGUGGAUUGUAGUCCCAUAAAUAGAGGUUUAAGUCCUCUUCCUAUCA